GAUGAACGCUGGCGGCGUGCUUAACACAUGCCAGUCGAACGGUGAACCCGGAGCUUGCUCUGUGGGAUCAGUGGCGAACGGGUGAGUAACACGUGAGCAACCUGCCCCUGACUCUGGGAUAAGCGCUGGAAACGGCGUCUAAUACUGGAUAUGUGACGUGACCGCAUGGUCUGCGUUUGGAAAGAUUUUUCGGUUGGGGAUGGGCUCGCGGCCUAUCAGCUUGUUGGUGAGGUAAUGGCUCACCAAGGCGUCGACGGGUAGCCGGCCUGAGAGGGUGACCGGCCACACUGGGACUGAGACACGGCCCAGACUCCUACGGGAGGCAGCAGUGGGGAAUAUUGCACAAUGGGCGCAAGCCUGAUGCAGUAACGCCGCGUGAGGGAUGACGGCCUUCGGGUUGUAAACCUCUUUUAGCAGGGAAGAAGCGAAAGUGACGGUACCUGCAGAAAAAGCGCCGGCUAACUACGUG
This 469-nucleotide ribosomal RNA is filed under the name uncultured bacterium. Its description in RNAcentral is "partial 16S ribosomal RNA". It matches the Rfam family "Bacterial small subunit ribosomal RNA", at positions 28 to 507 of the family's 1533-position model. The record is from RNAcentral.